RNAcentral lists this ribosomal RNA (490 nucleotides) under uncultured bacterium. RNAcentral's name for it is "partial 16S ribosomal RNA". It matches the Rfam family "Bacterial small subunit ribosomal RNA", at positions 30 to 507 of the family's 1533-position model. The record is from RNAcentral.
AUUGAACGCUGGCGGCAGGCCCAACACAUGCCAGUCGAACGGUAACAGGAAGCAGCUUGCUGCUUUGCUGACGAGUGGCGGACGGGUGAGUAAUGUCUGGGAAACUGCCUGAUGGAGGGGGAUAACUACUGGAAACGGUAGCUAAUACCGCAUAACGUCGCAAGACCAAAGAGGGGGACCUUCGGGCCUCUUGCCAUCGGAUGUGCCCAGAUGGGAUUAGCUAGUAGGUGGGGUAACGGCUCACCUAGGCGACGAUCCCUAGCUGGUCUGAGAGGAUGACCAGCCACACUGGAACUGAGACACGGUCCAGACUCCUACGGGAGGCAGCAGUGGUGAAUAUUGCACAAUGGGCGCAAGCCUGAUGCAGCCAUGCCGCGUGUAUGAAGAAGGCCUUCGGGUUGUAAAGUACUUUCAGCGGGGAGGAAGGGAGUAAAGUUAAUACCUUUGCUCAUUGACGUUACCCGCAGAAGAAGCACCGGCUAACUCCGUG